AUUGAACGCUGGCGGCAGGCCUAACACAUGCAAGUCGAGCGGAUGAAGGGAGCUUGCUCCUGGAUUCAGCGGCGGACGGGUGAGUAAUGCCUAGGAAUCUGCCUGGUAGUGGGGGAUAACGUCCGGAAACGGGCGCUAAUACCGCAUACGUCCUGAGGGAGAAAGUGGGGGAUCUUCGGACCUCCCGCUAUCAGAUGAGCCUAGGUCGGAUUAGCUAGUUGGUGGGGUAAAGGCCGACCAAGGCGACGAUCCGUAACUGGUCUGAGAGGAUGAUCAGUCACACUGGAACUGAGACACGGUCCAGACUCCUACGGGAGGCAGCAGUGGGGAAUAUUGGACAAUGGGCGAAAGCCUGAUCCAGCCAUGCCGCGUGUGUGAAGAAGGUCUUCGGAUUGUAAAGCACUUUAAGUUGGGAGGAAGGGCAGUAAGUUAAUACCUUGCUGUUUUGACGUUACCAACAGAAUAAGCACCGGCUAACUUCGUG
RNAcentral lists this ribosomal RNA (484 nucleotides) under uncultured bacterium. RNAcentral describes it as "partial 16S ribosomal RNA". It matches the Rfam family "Bacterial small subunit ribosomal RNA", at positions 30 to 507 of the family's 1533-position model. The record is from RNAcentral.